ACAAGUGUUGGACAGCCGGAGUCAGUCCCCAUGGAGACUAUCUUUGAUAACAGAUUUCUUUUGGGGAAUAGCUGAGUUUGUGGUUUUGUUGUAAGUAUACUAGUGUUCUUAGUUGCUCUGAUGUUUAAGUUGACUGAAGUAUAUUAGUAUAUUAUGUGGCAUAUCUUCAGCUUAGCUCUCCUGAAGCAGUUAAUUGUAAUUUUCAAAUCAUUUUUGGUAAGGGCAGUUGAGAUUCAUUUAAUGAUAAAGCUGCCACCACCAAACAUCUUCCAAUUAAGUUAGCUGGGUUCGCUUAACUUUGUAACCAUUUCAAUCUGCAGCCAGGCCUGUCAAUUCUGUUGUCAAAUGACUAUGCUUUGCAUUCUGUCUACUGAUUCCUUUUAUUCUACAUUAUGUGUAAUAACUGAAUAAGGAGAAUUUUUAUCCUGGUUUUUUUUAAAAAAACCCAAAUCCUAAGUAGUUAACUUUUUAAAAUAAAGACAGAAUUGAUGCAAAGAAGACAACAAUUUAAACUUCCUCAAUAAUUUCAAGCAAUUCUUAUUUAAGUGCAUUUUUGGUCUUUCAUGUGCUUGUUUUAUGAGAACUACUAAUAAGUCUUAUGGUACGUUUGAAUGUGUAUUUGACUGUCUUGUAAAGUACUUGCAGAGUUGCAAAAUCAUGGGAGACAGUUCCUUCUUCAUAUUGCAAGGGGUAGCAGGAUUGGCGUGAUUAUGGAUGUUGGACAUCAGUGGAAGUUAUUCCAUGUGGAGAAAACCAUAUGCAGGUUGACAGAGGAGUGUGAAUAUCGAGCUGUGGGCUUCAUACUUAGUUUGCUUGUAGUUGUGGUCUAGAAAGCUCAAUUUUAUGGCUGCAUGGAACAUAAAUAAAAAGGGGUAGAGUAUAAAAUGAAAGAGAGAGUUCCAUAGAAAAAUUCAGCUAGACACAGGUGAGGUCCUAAAUUAUGUGCAAAACUCAUUUAAAGUGUUUUACAUAUCCCAACUACUCCAUAUCCAUUUACUGUUUUAUUCUUAAAUUUACUGUUAAAUCCUUCUUCUUCACAAAUAAAGAAAAUUCCCUUUCAAUGGAGUUCCAGAAGCCCUGUGCCUCUGCCACACCACUGUCACCCCAUUCCUUCCCAAGAUAAUGUUAGGCAAAGGCUGUUGGCAGGGGAAAGGCAGGGGUGAGGAAGGUGAGACACUAUGAAAACGGACUCUGGUACCUGACACUUGAUGUAGAGUGGAGGAAGGAAAUCAGAGAGGACUCUAGUUUCAUGCUCAGUCUCAGGGAAUUAUUAGCAAAUAAGUGUGGGUUUGGCAGAAAACAUAAUACUUAAUUGAGACACAUGUAUAAGCUAGAUCCUGUAGACCUGUGGGUGCAAGAAAUGUAGGUUUGGCACUACUGACUAGCUUUAUACAUCUUUUCACAAAAAUGAUAGUUAAAACCAUGGAAAUAUAUUUUUAAUGUGGUCAAAAGUGAUACCUCAGUUGUUUUCUGUUCUUUGUUUCAGUUUUAAAACUCUGCUUCAGCAAGAUGUGAAAAAAAGAAGAGGCUAUGGAAACUCAUCCGAUUCCAGAUAUGAUGAUGGAAGAGGGUAUGGCUUUUUAAAAUUGAUAAUAGUUGUUUAUUAUAAUUGCAUUACAUAUUUUGGGUGAAGUUAGACUAGUGGAAGUUAACAGUUAAAUUCCAUUUCACAAAAAAUUGAUGAAUUACUGUAAAUCAAAAAUCAUGUUGCCUCUGAUUUGAUAAACAGUUGAUUUGGCAAAGCUAAAGUAUACAUUCAACAUCCUACGGGAGCCUGGUGUGAUGGUGCACACCUAUAAUCCCAGCAGCUCAGGAGGUUGAAGCUGGGGGAUCACAAGUUCAGUCUCAGCAAUUUAGCGAGGCUGUAAGCAAUUCAGAGAGACCCUGUCUUUACAUAAAAUAUAAAAAAGGGCUGGGGCUAUAGCUCAGUGGUUAAGUAACCCUGAGCUUAGUCCCCGGUUUCCCACCCCCCCAAAAAAAAUCCUACAGGAAAAGUCGAAAUUAGAAGAUGAAAACUGAUGGCUAACAUUAAAGAUUUCAAUUUACAGUAUAAAUUUCCAUCUGCUAAUGAAAAUCUCAGAAGGUCAGAUAGCAUGGGCUGGGUUUUUGUUUCCACGUGGUAGAAAUCAGCCUGAGUUGCUGGAGGCUUGUUCAUCCUAAUCCUGGCUUGACUGUUUCCUCACUUGCAUUAGGUCUCUAGUUCCUAUAAGUAUUUGAAUUUUCAACUCCUGAUCCAAAUGGUAGUUCCUAUUUUAAAGACUCUUUAAGGAUCAUGUGAUGAUUGAAAAAUGAAAGGGUCUAGUUAAAUGUUCGAAGGAAUCCAUUGAAAUUAUGUCUACUAAAGAGUAGAUACUAACUUUGUCUUUUACCAGGCCACCAGGAAACCCUCCCCGAAGAAUGGGUCGAAUCAAUCAUCUUCAGGGCCCUAGCCCUCCCCCAAUGGGUGGUGGAUGAGGAAGGUAACUUAAAAUCUGAAAUUAUUUUCUAAGCUUUUAUUUUGAAAAUGUCUCCUUAGGAAUAUUUCCUUUAGGAAAACUUAAGUCAUUCAACAUUUUAUAAUUACUCAGACAUUGUUUGGGAAAAUAUUUCUCUCUUAACCCCUGGGCAGUUUGUCAACUUUGUUAUCAAAGUAUCUUUUGAGAAAGGUAUUAUAAUCCCAUGUAACAUGUUGAGCUUUAUAUAGGUCCAAUUGAAUAACUGGUAACUAAUAUUACAACCUUUCUUUUAGGUAAACGUCUGCUCUAAGAAGCAGACAACUAAACGUACACAUUCAUAGAAGAAGGAAACCAUUAAGAAGUGGAGGGCUACCAUGCUAGACAAGUGGAGGAAUGUGUACGUCUAAAUAAGGAUUGCUCUGUGUCCUCACAGAUCAAUGAGGUCACGCUGGGAAUUCCCUCUGCAGGGAUCUGGCCUGACUGACAUGCAAUUCCAUAAAUGCACAUGUUUGUCUCAUUAUCUUUUUUGUAUAGUUUAUUAAAGUAUUAAUAUAGUUUUAAUAAGUAAAUAUUUUUAGGUUGUAAAACUGGUUCCUCAUCUUUAUAUAAUUAAUCAUAAAACACUCUAAACCUGAAGAAAAUAAAGGCUGCAUAUUCAGUGCUUGUGUCCCUUUUUUCAAUUGUACAUGGUUAAUUUGUUCUUGUGUUUAUUUCAGUAGUAUGCAUAAAAUCUGUG
This 3171-nucleotide long non-coding RNA is filed under the name Marmota monax (woodchuck). Lineage: Eukaryota; Metazoa; Chordata; Mammalia; Rodentia; Sciuridae. The record is from RNAcentral.